GAGAAUAGGACUUGGCAGAGCAGUUGGCUUCAUGCAUUCUUCGUUGAUGUCCUUCCAUGCAUUUGCGCAAAUUUUGAGAAUCUCUUCCACAGCCUUCUUUUCUAAAACAUCAUGUUCUUUCAUGUAGCACUCUACCGAUGAAGCAGAGUCUCCUCUCUUUUGCUCAGCCUGGUGGGAUACUAUGUCGUUCUCAAGACGCCCAAGUACCUUGAGAGCUUUGACAAUUUUUGGGUUACUUUGAAGCCACUGAUAUUCCUUGAUCCCAGCAAUCUUCUCCAUUCCAAUAAAGCCUGCUGCUACAA
RNAcentral lists this unclassified non-coding RNA (302 nucleotides) under Hevea brasiliensis (rubber tree). Lineage: Eukaryota; Viridiplantae; Streptophyta; Magnoliopsida; Malpighiales; Euphorbiaceae. The record is from RNAcentral.